Long non-coding RNA from Corvus hawaiiensis (hawaiian crow), 1768 nucleotides. RefSeq lists it as uncharacterized. The transcript has 3 exons. Lineage: Eukaryota; Metazoa; Chordata; Aves; Passeriformes; Corvidae. The record is from RefSeq and is a predicted model, not a curated record.
GACCCUAACGCGUGACUCUAACCUCUGACCCUAACCCUGACCCUAACCCUGACCCUAACCUGUGACCCCUAACCCUCGCCUAUGCUCCUCACCUGCACCUGCAACGCUGGCCUGCACCCCUAACCCUGCCUCCUACCCUGCACCUGCACCCCUAAUCCUAGCCUGUACUCCUACCCUGCACAUGCACCCCUGGCCUGCGCCCCUAACCUCUGAUCCUCCCAUGCACCUGCACCCCCUAGCCUGUGGCCCUCACCUGCACCUGCACCCCUAACCUGUGCUCCUCACCUGCGCCUGCACCCCUAGCAUGCACCUGCACCCCUAACCUGCAGCCCUGGCCCGUACCUGUGCUGCUGCCCUGCAACCCUAACCCUGACCUGGAUACUGGGCUGUGACCUGUGCCUGGGCCCUGACUGGGUGCCUGGGUCCUGACCUGGACCCUAUGCCUCAGAAACCCUCAGGAAAACCCUAAAUGUUCACCUGGCGGACAGGAGUCCCUGCUUCCCCAGAGCCACGUCGAUCUGCAGAACCUGCUUGUGGCUGAGGAUGCAGAUUGCCACAAAAGGCCUAGGAGUAAAAAUUGGAGCCAGGCCGUGUCCAAGAAGAUUAUCCCAGAGAAAAGCAUCAUAGGAGCAACAAGUGUCCUGGAGCUGCCAGUUGCCAGUCCAUGACUCCAAGGAUGCUGCGGCGCUGCCAAAGGUGAAGAGGCUCAGAGAGCUGCCAGACAAGAUCCUCCAGAAGAAAAGGCAGAGCUACGACAACAGGGAGUCGAAGUAAGUAAUGAACAUGGACUCAAGACUUCUGCUGCUGUAGCUGAAGAAACAGAUUUUAGAAGAAAAGACCAACCUUGUGACUCAUCGUUCUGGAAGAAGCCCACCACAUCCGUUCCUCACGGCAUGUGGAUUGUUCUUCCCACAGGCUCAGUGUCAUUAUCAGAGUUGUUAUUUCGUAGAUCCUUGUAGAUGAUAUUGAAUUUUUAAAUAAUUUACUUAUAUGGACACUUGUAAAUUGUAAAUUCUUUUCUUUUUUAAUUUCAAUAUUUUUACAAUGUUUAGUGUUGAGGCAUGAAAAGAAAACAACCUGCGAAAACUAGAAGGAGGGUGAGUCUUUCUCAAAAAACCAGUAUUUUUUGACUGAGAGGAUCAUACUGUGCCUGGACAAGAUUGUGUCAGUAAACAGUAAUUUUGACUCCAAAAUAUGCAGCAGGAGUCAAACCCUAGCAGUGUACAAGUGAUCAUUUCAAUGCUGUAUUUAGAAUUCACAAUGUCCACUCCUUGCAUUGUUUGAACUGCUGAAUGCAGUAGGGACUGAUCUAUGACUCUUCUUACCCAGAUGUGCAAACACUAAUGUACUCACCUAAUUAUUGCAAUUCAUAUAUGACUUCUCCUUUCCUAAUCUCCUUUGCCCCAAGUCCAUCACAAGUAGCUGUCUGUGAUUUGAAGAGAAGUAGGAAAACUGCUCAAUGGAUGUCGGUCUCUAGGAACCUAGGGCUGUUUAGAUGUCUGUGAUUUGCACAUUUUUAAACUCCUUUCCUCCCUUCUCCCAGGAAGAAGCCAAGCAUGAAUGUACAGUACAAGGCACCAACUGAAGCCUUAGAAGCCUCUGGGGACUAAUUUUUCUCUUAAUUUAAAAGUAAACAAGCAAAACUGAAAAAUGUGUGUAAAAAUUUGUAAAGUUAUUUGUAAAUACUUCUAGACAAAGAACAUGUAUGUAACUGUGGUAUUUUGUUUUCUAUUGUGUCACCACUAGCAUAAAGUGAUACACAAAGCUA